RNAcentral lists this long non-coding RNA (1079 nucleotides) under Gallus gallus (chicken). Its description in RNAcentral is "lncRNA (ENSGALG00010009872.1)". The record is from RNAcentral. Lineage: Eukaryota; Metazoa; Chordata; Aves; Galliformes; Phasianidae.
GGCUAAGAUAUUUAACCUAGAAGCUGGGGAAGCUGCCUGGAGCUGUAGCUAUCGAGGGAACUAGAAGGCUGUAUUGGUGGAUAUGUUGCAGAGGAGGAGUGCCAGAGACAGAAGAGCACUGACAAGCCUGUUGAAGAAAGUAGGCAAAUGCCAUGGAGAAACCUCAAGGUAUUGCAUGUGGCAGCUUAAAGCUUGGGAGGACGAUUCGCUGGAGAGGAGCAGGCCUGCAGUAGGGACGGAGCGCUGUGCAGGAGCACCCCUGGCCCAGGGCUGCAGCAGACCCGACUGGGCCUUGCUUUGAGGAGUUACUUAUCCAACGUAAGCUUUCAACGGCGAACGUGAGUGAUUCAUAUCAUUUGAUCCGAACUGCUUGCUAAAAAGGGUUAUUUCCUCUGAUUCCCCAGCCUCUCUCAGAACCCAGUGUGCUUUCCCAUGAGUUAAUACCAAAGAAAGCACGUGCUUGAACUGCUGAGGUACCAAAGGCGCGCUGAGGAGCUUGCUGCCUGCUGGCAGCAUUGUGCUGUGCUGCCUGGCGCAGCCUGGCUGGGGCUCAGAACAGAGCCACCAGGACCACAGCCCGUGCCGGCGCCUCAGCCUCACGGCUCUGCAGCGCAAACAGCCGCUCGGAAUGUUUCCCUGCGUGAGCACGCGGGCACAGGCCCUACACCCUGCUCAGUUAAUUGAGAAGUGAAAAACAAAAACUCCCGGAACAGUGUCCAUCAGCUUGUUGUAUAAGGCUCCGACGGUCCAAGCUGCCACACAGGAUUGCCUGGCUCCCAGGUGAGCUGCAUUAGCACACAUACACCAACACGAGCGGACUCCUCCGUGCCCCACAGGUCUGCUUUUCAGGACCGCUUCUGCUUAGUUCGUUGGCUCGCAGGAUCUGUUUAUUUAUUGCCUGCAACCCUGCACACACAGGUUGCCCACCCGCUGCCCUCCACAGCUGGGGAGGUUUCUGAGUACGCAGUUGCAUUCAAUGUUUAAUUAGGAGCGCUAACAGGACAACGUGUCCCUGGCGCGGGCAGGGCACCUGCAGCCCUGACCUGCGGCCGUUCCUGGGUGCGGGGUGCUCGGUUUCG